Molecule: long non-coding RNA, 300 nt
Organism: Wasmannia auropunctata (little fire ant)
Lineage: Eukaryota; Metazoa; Arthropoda; Insecta; Hymenoptera; Formicidae
Exons: 4
Source: RefSeq, a predicted model, not a curated record
UUUCUGUCAAGAACAGUUUGAAAAUGCGAAAUAUAUUCGAAUAAAAAAAUUAUCAACAAAAGUUGAUAUGUAUAGUAAUUACACACAAACACUCAAAGUAGUCGUCACCAUCAAAAUUGCCAUGUGCAGUGUAAAUAUCUGAUAUAUGUUGCUAUAUUAUCUGUCGAUAGUAUAAUUUUGAAAUCUGCAUAAUUGGAAAACUUUCCAGUGACAUUGGCUACUGGUACAUCUGCAUUCUUUAACGCAUCAGGAUAUAUGUAAUUAAUUGGCGCGAUUAAGGAUCCAGAUUUAUUCGUGAGA